GAUGAACGCUGGCGGCGUGCUUAACACAUGCAAGUCGAACGAGAACGGAUUUUAGCUUGCUAAAAUUGUCAGCUAAGUGGCGCACGGGUGAGUAAUAUAUAGGUAACGUGCCCUAGAGAAGAGGAUAACAUCUGGAAACGGUUGCUAAUACCCUAUAUGCCUUUAUGUCAUAAGACAGCAAGGGAAAUAUUUAUAGCUUGAAGAUCGGCCUGUACAGUAUCAGUUAGUUGGUGAGGUAAUGGCUCACCAAGACAAUGACGCUUAACUGGUUUGAGAGGAUGAUCAGUCACACUGGAACUGAGACACGGUCCAG
RNAcentral lists this ribosomal RNA (313 nucleotides) under uncultured Arcobacter sp. RNAcentral describes it as "bacterial SSU rRNA". It matches the Rfam family "Bacterial small subunit ribosomal RNA", at positions 28 to 334 of the family's 1533-position model. The record is from RNAcentral. Lineage: Bacteria; Pseudomonadati; Campylobacterota; Epsilonproteobacteria; Campylobacterales; Arcobacteraceae.